GUCUUCCAGAGCUCUAGAAUUCGAUGGCUCUUUAGAAAGGGUCACUCCAGGCAAGAAGCCAGGGACUUUGUAUUCCCUGUUGGGAGUCAUUGGACGUAGGCUGCCUCCAGGGAGAGACCAUGUCCUCGAGAAGGUGGAUCUCUUCAGCUGGGCACAACUCCUGGAAAGGGACUCAGUUGCCAUGAUCAAAAGAGAAGUAAAUAUAUCAAGCCUGAAAGGAUACUCUCAUACAGUAGGCUUUCGAGCUGGCCUAGAAUCAGAGUAUCACAGAGAAACAUAGAGCUAGUUAAGCAUGAACACUAGACACGGUAUUUGUGCUUCUGGAUUUAGCCACUCCUGAAUUCCUUACCUCUUAGACUUUUUCAUGUUAUCAAUUUAAAAAACUCUCAUCUAUUUUUUUGGUUGCUCUUUUUUUUUUCAGUGAUUUUUUUUUUUUUGUCAUCGAUUGAGACAUCAUUCUUUCAUAUUAUCCCCUUUUUCUCAAGGUUCUAUCUCCUUCAUUUUCUUACAUUCAUACUUGACAUUAUACAAGAGGAAGAUUCUAAAGGAAAAUAAGCUGAAGAGGAAUAUCAGAAAAUUUGUUCUUUGAAAUCUCCUGAAAGAAAGGAUUACUGAUAGAUUUUAAUAGCUAAUGGCUUGAGCAAGAUUGUAAAACUGAAGACUGUCUUUCACAGAUGGGCAUUGUUAAAUAUAUUGCUCUUAAUGAGAGGGAAUAGGGAUGGAGAGUAAACUUCCUGAAAACUGAAUGAAUUUAGGAUGAGGCACUGAUUUUUUUGACAGUACUGACAAUGUUUCCCUAUUCAUGUACUAAACAACGCGGCUUUUUGGGCCUGAAAGGAAACUCAAAUGAUUUGGGAAUCCAAGUAUUGCUUUAAAAGAGAAAAAGAAAUUGCUCUAAAUAUGGUGCAUCUCAGGAAGAAGAAUGAUAUACUUGAUAUUUAGCACUGUCUCCACUGUGUGCCAUGCUUCAUCAGUCAAAUGAGCUUAGAUCUCAGUUAUAAUUGCUUAUAAGUAUUCAAGGCAAGAAAACUACAUGGGCAAAUACAAUAUUUCCUCCACUAUGACUUUGAUGAACCAGAAUUAAUUUCACAUUGUGAUCAGUUGAUUUUUGCUUCACGGCAAAAGCUUGAGGUUGUUCUCACCAGUCUUGGGAACUCACAUACCUGGAUGCGCUGACGGAGCCUGAUGCCCUCUCUCCUCCAUCUUAAAGCCAUUUCUUCUCCUCGGGAACAGCUAAUUCAUUUUACACUGGGAAAGUUAAAUUUAGCAAAAGGAGCCUUUUCAGAGCUGAGAGUUGUUGCUGAUCUGGGAGCCUGUCAAGGUGAUUCCAUGCCAACUUGGACUGGCCUGGUGUUGAGGCUUCCAAUCUUGCCAAAUGUUGUGCUUAUUUUGUGACAAAGAUGAAAGUCACAGUUGGAUUUAAAAGGAGGCCAUCCAGUUUAUUUUAUUCUUGUCUCAACUCUCUAAAUCUUUGUCUUCAUGACUGAAAGCUUUGUAAAUAAACAGGUGUCCACAUGUCCCAGUGUGAACUAAAAUUUUAUGGAACCAGAGAGGGAAUUGAUUUAUUUUUAAAAGAAAAGUUAUUGUAAUACUUUUCUUUGGAAACUAGAGGUAAUAGUUGUUCUACAGUCUGUUUCCACAGAUUUAUUACUGUCCAUACUCAGUAUUUCCAUGGGAUUUAGGGUAAGAGUGUUGCAUAAAAAGGUAUGGGUUUGACAUAUGUCUUGGGAGCUAGACAAGCUCUCGUCAAUGUAAGAAAUGUUUAUAGAGUGUGAAGUUUCUCUGUAAGUGCUGAAGAGAGGCCAUCGCCCGUAUUUACGGUUUCAUUUAUGGUACAAGAUCCGUACACUGAAAUAGAUACGUAAACUCAGGUAUCCUCAGCCAGAGCACUUUGCCACUUUUUUCUCAAAUGCCUAAAAAUAUAAUUUCCUCCUGCUGCUGCACAGUAAAAUAAAUAUUCUUAUUAUGAAUAAUGUCUUCUAUGGUAAUGCACACAGAUGCAUGUGCAAACAUUUAUGCAAAACCACACUUUUUUCUAAUUAACUAAUCUUCCAAAGUGCCUAAGAAUUCCCUGUUUGGACAUGAAGCAUCUCAGGUACCUGCAUAUAACUGCUUCAGCAAACUAAAAGCCAAGUGUCUCAUUUGUAAUAGCACAAUAAUCUCGGCAUGGAGGGGCGUAUUCAGUGGGGUUAUAUUGUUUUCAGUAUUAAAUUUAGGUGUUGGCAACGAUGUAAUAUUUACUCUAAAGUCAAUUUUAAAAGUUUUGAGAUAUGUGUAUGUAUAUAAUAUUUAUAUACUAUAGAAAAUACCCUAUCUUGAAUUAUCCUAACAAUUAUAUUUUUUAACAUAUUUAAAA
Molecule: long non-coding RNA, 2356 nt
Organism: Canis lupus familiaris (dog)
Lineage: Eukaryota; Metazoa; Chordata; Mammalia; Carnivora; Canidae
Exons: 2
Source: RefSeq, a predicted model, not a curated record